GUAAUAAACUUAGGCCUGUUUGGACCCAAUUUUGAGCCUAAUCCUCUUGCUGGCAUGCUUGUAAGAGAUCCACUUCUUGUCAACAACAAACUUCUGUAUGAAAUAUUAAAUCCAGAUUCAUGCACUGAUGAAAACCACGAGGAUCUUGACUUUGGCAACCUCCUCUCCAAAAUGGCCACUCCCACUGCAUCUAUGGGUCUAACCGAGCUAUUUGAAAAUCUUGUUAGUUUAUUCAGCAGUGGAACGCCACAGAAUUCCUCAUCUGAUCCAUUUUCCAAGGGAGAGGGUGCACCAACAUUCUUGCUCUUUGGCAUGCCAGAAACUAAAGUAUCCAAGAAACUGGCCCUCAGUUUUAUUGCCUCUAAAGACUCUACCUUCGAAACUGUGGGUUUGGUCAAGGGUAAACCAGGAGGAGUAGGUGGCGGCGUUACUGUAAGAUAUGGUCACAACUUGAUGAAUCUAUUAACAGUUCGACGAGCACGGCCAAGACUUCUGGUAGAUGGCCCAAGUGGAACUGCAUUUCAUCCAGAUGUGGCAGAGGUAAUACCACGUGUUGAUGGUCUGAUAUGCUACAUGGAUUCCUCUUGUUGUUGUGAAAAUAUUGAAAAUGUCUUGCAUAGCAGCAAAAUGCAAAAUGGCUGCUGCACUCACACUCACACAAUAGAUGUGCUAGAACUUGAAGCUAUGAUGAGGACAAUUCCACCAGAUCUUUCUCCACCGAUCCUUGUUCUUCUAGCACACUUGGAUGACCCUCAUCCUACUUCCUCUGAUGACUCUGAUCUUGAUCAUGAUGAUUUUGCAAAUAUAAAGUCACGAGUACAUAAAAAAUCGCAGCCUCAUUUCAAUAGUCAUCAAGUACGUCACCGACCUACAAUGCUAUAUAAUGUUCUUGGGACUUUAGAUCUUCCAUGGGCUAUAUGUGAAGUUGAAGUGAAGACCCUUGCAGGCGUUCAUCGUGGUCUGAAUUGGCUUCUUCAUCGAACACUUAAACUUAAAAGUGGUUGAAUAUUGUGUAAAAUAGAUAUGACUUGGAGAUAGUUGAACUUUGCACAAAGGAUUUUGCCUGAUGGUAAUGAUAAUAUAGAAAAAUUGAUUAUAGAUGAGACGGAGGCUCAAGAAAAACAGACAUUAUAGUGGAGAAACUAUGAAGUAGGGAUUCGAAGCUAUUCACAAAAAUGAAAUCUGGAUUUUCCAGCUUACUUCAUGAAAUCUAAAAUAAGAUGCCAACUGAGUGUUGAAGCUGACCUUUGAUGUGCCUUAGCCAAAAUUGCUCCUUGGCUUCUUAGGCUAGUAAAAGAAACAUCCAUCUCAAUCAUUCACUUUGCAGUUGAAACAUUAAUAUUAUUUUUAAAUAAAAUUGUCAGAUAACAGCUGCAAACUUUUGUUUUUUGUUUUACUGCAGUUCACAUUGGAAAUAUUUUCUAAAGAUGGUACUUGUGUAGAUUUUUGUACAAUUAAAAUCCAAUACAGUACAUUAGUCUUGAAAAUAAUACUGCACAACAAAAGGUGAAGAAUAUGAAAUUGUUCUAUAAUUUUCUUAUAAAUUGCUGUUUUUGUUUCUGGAAACAAAUUAUUCAGUGGUUAUGUAGUGACCCAUUUAUUGAUGCUGUUUACAAAUAAUGUAUACACAACUUAAUAUUUGCAUAUUCUUUUAGUUAUCACUUAUGGGGGUAUGUGGAUGAUACUAAUAAUGCUCAAAGGUUAUGUGAAGGGAAAUUUGGUAGAAAACCCCCUGCUUUAGGGUUUUUUCAUGUGAUUUUCUCCUGCUAGGUUUCCGAAAAGUAUCUCUAGAAUGCCUCAUCAUAUUGACCUGAAACUCAAAAUACAGUAUGUACAGUACUUUUAAGUUUAAGCAAAUUGUAUUUAUA
Molecule: non-coding RNA, 1868 nt
Organism: Procambarus clarkii (red swamp crayfish)
Lineage: Eukaryota; Metazoa; Arthropoda; Malacostraca; Decapoda; Cambaridae
Source: RefSeq, a predicted model, not a curated record